AACUUUCUCAACAGAAAUUGUUUUAUUGACUGUUUCGUUGCCUAUAUUGCCUGAAAAUUCCACACUACCGGCUAAGUUGGAAACGAGAAAUACAACAACCGUGAGUGCGAGCAAAGCGCUGACUUUCAUCCAACU
Molecule: small RNA, 135 nt
Filed under: Archaeoglobus fulgidus
Lineage: Archaea; Methanobacteriati; Methanobacteriota; Archaeoglobi; Archaeoglobales; Archaeoglobaceae
Source: RNAcentral